RNAcentral lists this non-coding RNA (32 nucleotides) under unclassified sequences. RNAcentral's name for it is "L31-Firmicutes ribosomal protein leader". It matches the Rfam family "L31-Firmicutes ribosomal protein leader". The record is from RNAcentral.
CUAUGACAAGUAACUUGUCAUGGCGGAAGGAG